RNAcentral lists this long non-coding RNA (2157 nucleotides) under Canis lupus familiaris (dog). RNAcentral describes it as "lncRNA (ENSCAFG00000051109.1, ENSCAFG00805022304.1)". The record is from RNAcentral. Lineage: Eukaryota; Metazoa; Chordata; Mammalia; Carnivora; Canidae.
UUUUUUUCUUUUUUCAUCUGUCUGUUUUCAAGAGAAUGUUGGGUCCUCAGCGUCAGAGCCCACCUGUCUUGGUCAUCGUGGCAUCUCCUGGUACACUGAUGGGGCCUGGCAUAUAGUAGGGGCCUAAUAAGUGUCCACCACCUGGAAUCAAUGGAGAUCUCAAGCUGUACUACCUGGCUCAUCCCAUGGAUCAGAGGGAAUAGCGGUAUACCAGCCUGUAGCUUCUCAUUAUUCCCACAUGCCUCAACCUUUGUGGGUUUGGUAAAAAUCCCAGCCCAGACAAACGUUCUUCCCACAGUCUAAAUCUGCACAGGGUAAUUACUUGCGCAUCCGCACUAAUAAUAGGUCUUAUGAUUAUAGUUUAUUUGCUGCGAUUUUAGUUAAUGGACCGGAUGGAAUAUUUGCAUGUGGAAAGAUCCCCGGCUAUUUCAGGGAGCUCCCAAACUUGCCGCUCACAGGAGAAGAGGCUCUUGGUGCAGAAAGAGCCCUAAGGGCAGGCAGGAGGCCUGAAGACGAGCCCUUCACCUCCCUCAGUCUCCAUCUCCUCAUGUAUAAAAUGGGGUGAUAACACCUACCUUGCAGGGAAGGAGUCCAUGGGCCAAUCUCAAACCUCCGCUGCCGUGAACAUUGCUUCAUGGGCUAGCACCCUUUGCACCAGUAUCCAAGCAAUGGCUUGCUUUAUGCUGAUUUUUUUUUUCUUGAAUGUAUUUAAAUGGGAAAACUUCCUUCCUGCCUUAAGUGAAAACCAGGAUCCUUUGUCUGAAACAUAUCUUGUGGAAGAGCAUCCCUGAGAUUUUUCGACACAUUGAUGGGUUUAUAUGUUCAUUGUCCGUCUCUCCCAGUGGGUCGCCAGCUCCUUUAUCUGUCCUUAAACUGCUGAGCCCCCAGGAGCACACAGCAGGUGCUCACCAAGUCAGUAUGAAUGAACUGAUGGUGGUGCCCGCCAGCAGGAGAGCUGAGGGCACGAAAGGAGCUGGCCAUCCAUGCGCCCGUUCAUUCCAUGUGUAUCGUAUGAGCACCUACUAUGUGCUGGCACCUAGUGGGUGCCAGCACACAGCAGUAAAUGAGACGAUAUCUUUUUGGCUCCUCUCUACUUCCCAGUCUCCUCUCCUGGCUCCUUCUUGUCCCCUUGUCCCUGGCCACUUACUGUCCACACUCACCCCCUGGUGGUCUUAUCUAGCCUCCUGGCUUUGUAAACCACCCAGAUGCUGGUCAUGCCCAUGUUUAUAUUUCCAACCUUGACCUCUCUGCUAACUCUGGACCUGAGGUCUAGGAAGGAUCUUCUAGGACAGUGUAAGAUCAGCAUCCCCAUCUCCUGUGAGGCCUGCUCCCCCUGUUCUCAUUCUCUCUCUUGCCCUCUUCUUCUCAUACCCCCCACCUCACCUACCUGCUCUGGCUUCUCCGUGCUUCCAUAGUCCAGCCUGGUCCUGGCCACCCUCUACGACGCCCUGAAUGAUCGCAGAAGCCUCCCUAUUCCCUGAUUCUGGCCUGGUUCUCGGCAGCCUAUCUACAGAUAGAAGCCAGGUUUUAUCCUUUGUCUAAAAGUAUCCAAGGCAUGUAAACUGUUCUGCUCAGCACCCUCCAGGGCUCCUGCCCCACGUAGAGUAAAAGCCGAAGUCCUUACAAUGACCCACAGGGGCCUGCAUGAUCCCCUUGACUUUCCUUCUGUCCCCCUGCCCCUUGCUCACUGUGGCCCAAGCACAAUGGCCUCUUCUUUGCUUCAGCCUGCAGAGGCCCUUUCCUGCCCCGGGGCUUUUGCAUGUGCUGUGUUUAUUGCCCCCCAAGGGGAAUAUCAAAACUAUUUAACAACAGGCCCUAGCCCUGACCACUCAGAAACACCUCCUGCUACACUGAAUAUCCACUCCUUUGUUAUAAGUCCUGGGGACACACGAGGGGAGCCAGGAGUGGGGCUGGACAGGGCGGCAGCAGCCCCAGGGGCCAUUCUGGGGCACAGGCAGUGUCUUCAACCUACUGGCAUGAAAAUAUUUCAAUAUUUUGACAAAGGUAUAUACACCUGCUGAACCUCAGCCCUGACUCGGCCUGGCCAUCUCCUCUCCUAGCCAUCUCACAGCUUUGUCUUCUUCCAGUCUUUGUUCAAGGUCCCCUCCUCAAUGACACCCUGCCCGAUCCCUUCCCUAGUAUGCACUGCUGGGCCCC